GUUUUGCUGCCUUGUUCGUGAUAUUCACGAUUUAUAGACCCACAAGAAAUAAAAGGAGCCCGGGCUUCCCCUUCAGGGUUCGCAGACCUCCCGACCGGUCCUGCUUAUGUCACGACCGCAUCGGACGUUGGGAGCGCAAAAAAGGGGAGAGGGCACCACCCUUGCACAUGCAGGGUUUCUCUUAUCGGCUUACACGGCAAGGCGGUAUAACA
Molecule: non-coding RNA, 212 nt
Filed under: Clostridia bacterium
Lineage: Bacteria; Bacillati; Bacillota; Clostridia
Description: 6S RNA
Rfam family: 6S / SsrS RNA
About the family: E. coli 6S RNA was the first non coding RNA to be sequenced, but its function was unknown until recently. It consists of 184 nucleotides that fold into an extended hairpin structure with a large single-stranded internal bulge.
Source: RNAcentral